AAUAAGCGUAAGAUAAGUCUAGAUCUUUCGUCUUAUUUUUAUUUUUUUUAUAAUUUGUAUUUUUAUUAUUAUUAGACUAUAAAACAUAAAUUGUAAUUAUGUUUUUAGUUUUUUUCAAAAAAAUUCAAAUAAGAUGGACGAUUAAAGUUGGACACGAAAACUUAUGACUGCGCUUAUU
Oryza sativa Indica Group (long-grained rice) is the source of this 178-nucleotide microRNA precursor. It matches the Rfam family "MIR812 microRNA precursor family". The record is from Rfam. Lineage: Eukaryota; Viridiplantae; Streptophyta; Magnoliopsida; Poales; Poaceae.